Molecule: unclassified non-coding RNA, 1934 nt
Filed under: Daphnia magna
Lineage: Eukaryota; Metazoa; Arthropoda; Branchiopoda; Diplostraca; Daphniidae
Description: e3 ubiquitin-protein ligase MIB2, transcript variant X3
Source: RNAcentral
GCGAAACCUGAAGUGAAGUAGACGUCACCAUUGCAUCGCCGUCGUCAUCAUGUCAGCUUCACCUUCACCAUCACAACAGUCAGUAUUCAGCAGUCACCAGUGUUUCCAGAACCAAUGUAACUGGAUGGCAAACAGAUGCCGGUUAUCAUAUGGGCAUUCAUUUCAUUUUUAUACGCCUGAUUCGUCUAUGCAGGGCAGAACACUGGGGGGGAAAUUAUUCUCACCUAAUCGGACGAUGGAAACUUCAGUAGCAUGUGCUUCAACGAGAAUUGAUUGCUACCAACCGCAAAGGAUAUCGCAUUCGAUAGAACAAAGUAAUGCAUUCGAUUGGUCAGCCGACGUUUAAUCCUUCGCUUUACAAUUCAUGGUCGGCCCAUGACAGUACGAGUAACAGGAUGGUGGAGAAGGAAAGAUGUUCAGGGUUGUUGAUUUGCGUGGUUGGGAUAAUGAAUCUGGCCGCAGCAUCCUGAUAGAGCGAACGCCAAAAGCAGCGGAAAGACUUCCCUGCAAGUUGCCUCUCAUCAGGGUCACACGUUCAGUGUGGCCCUGAUGAUUGGAUGAUUGGUUGCCCUGUUGAUUGGUUGGAUUCUUAUUGUCCAAAGGGGCAUCUAUGGAAAUUCCUGACGAUGACGGUGAUACAGCCUUACAUUAUGCCGCUUUUGGAAAUCAGCACGAAGUUAUGGAACUGCUCAUAAAAAAAGGAGCCGUCAUUGAUAGUACGAAUCGCGGACGCUGCACACCUUUGCAUGUCGCUGUCAAUAAGCAGUUUCCUGCUUGUGUUCAGAUGCUCCUCAAAUACGGAUGGGACGUCAAUGUUCAAGACUCGUACGGAGACACGGCCCUGCACGGUGCAAUCGGCAAGGAAAAUGCGGAUAUUAUAGAAGCUUUAGCUUCGGCAUCAGCUGUCGAUUGUACACUGAGGAACACGCGGGGUUUCAAUGUUCUUCAUCACGCCGCUCUCAAAGGGAAUUAUUUCGCGGCGGAGCGCAUUUUGAUGCGCAGUCGACAGCUGGUGGAUGUGAAAAAGGAUGACGGAUUCGCAGCCCUUCAUUUAGCUAGUUUGAAUGGCCAUGUUCAGAUGGCCUUUCCCCGAUUAAAAUGAAUCGGGGCCGAGACCUACGAGUGAGACAAAAAUUACCAGUAAAGGAGGAUCGCCCGAUCAAUCGUUGCCACCUUCCGUCGGCAUUGAAUGCAUUGUCUGCUGUGAAAAUCCGCCGGAUGUGCGUUUUGAACCUUGUGGCCAUGUCGUCACCUGUUCCAAAUGUGCCCAACGGAUGAAAAAAUGUUUACAUUGUUCUCAAAUCUAAUUCCGCGUUGUGCUUUCUUGCAGACGGCACCCCGAUAUCAAGCCAAUCGUCUCAACAGCCCAGCCAAGAUCACUUAAAAUAUUUGGAAUCUCGUAUCGCUGAAAUAGAAGAGGCUUAUACAUGUUCCAUUUGUAUGGAACGCCGAAGGAAUGUGGCUUUCCUUUGCAGCCAUGGUGCGUGUGACAGCUGUUCGCUCAACUUUCGCCAUAUGUGCCGAAAGUUGAUCGCACGUAAAAUCAAUCUGUAUUGAACAAAAGGAGCAUGCGAACAAUGUUAAAGAAGGGGUUGGUUCAGCUGUUUGUUCCAAGCGAAAGGAAGUAAGCAGCGCUUUGCUGCUACCGUUUCCAGUUCAAAUAGAAUUUACUUGGAAAGUCAUAUUUCAAAACUGCUAGAACGGGACCUCAGACUAUGCAUUGUUUGGCCCAUCCUAUCCGCACCUCAUUUUUGUGUAAAUUUUAUUCUGGUUGAAUUCAAUGUGAAGUUUUUGUCUGUCUUGAAUUUAGCAUGAUGAUUAUGUCUAGUUAUACUGGAUAUAUUGUUUGUGCCUUUAAAACGUUUGCAAAAAAGAAUGUUCUUAGAUCUGACACCAUGUGUUACUGAAUUGAUUAAAGAUCCUUGAAUAACUCA